Molecule: ribosomal RNA, 253 nt
Filed under: uncultured bacterium
Lineage: Bacteria
Description: partial 16S ribosomal RNA
Rfam family: Bacterial small subunit ribosomal RNA
Source: RNAcentral
UACAGAGGGGGCAAGCGUUGUUCGGAAUUACUGGGCGUAAAGGGCGCGUAGGCGGCCUUCUAAGUCGAACGUGAAAUCCCUGGGCUCAACCCAGGAACUGCGUCCGAUACUGAAAGGCUUGAAUCCGGGAGAGGGAUGCGGAAUUCCAGGUGUAGCGGUGAAAUGCGUAGAUAUCUGGAGGAACACCGGUGGCGAAGGCGGCAUCCUGGACCGGUAUUGACGCUGAGGCGCGAAAGCCAGGGGAGCGAACAGG